This is an RNA transcript of Lagopus muta (rock ptarmigan), 5260 nucleotides long. It is a transcript of the gene named LIM homeobox 8, with no coding region annotated. The record is from RefSeq and is a predicted model, not a curated record. Lineage: Eukaryota; Metazoa; Chordata; Aves; Galliformes; Phasianidae. The transcript is spliced from 3 exons.
CAGCCCUGGCUGGGCUCUACAUUCUGGGACCCUCCAGCAGUUAGGAGCAGGACAAUACGAAGUCCACAGUUCCACGUUCCUGUGGCAUGGUGUGCUGAGCACAGACCCGCCGAGUUUUCCAUUUUGUAACCUUGCCACUGAAUGCUAUCAGGGGCCAUCUGCUGAUGAUCUAAGUAUCUGAGUGUGCACAACACGGCAGCAGAAUGGCAGCAGUAUUGCAAGCUCUAUAACCCUAACUGCACCUCAGCGCUCCACCAGUUCUAAGUUUUCUUUCAUCCCAUAAUUUCCUCUCUCCUCAAAAAUUAGAUAAAUAGUUCUUCUUCUGCUCGAGCAUCAACAUUCAGAUGGUAUUAAAGAACAGCAAAACGUGAGACAGUGAAGUGCUGCUUUGUGUUACAGUCUUGUCUAGGUAACCAGCCAGAGCUGACUCAUUUUUGAAUGUUUAUUGGCAGUGCUUGAAACAGUUGCCUUUGAGAUCUCCAGUGAUUCCCUCUUCCCCUCUCUUCUCCUCAUAACCCAAAUGGAAGUAAUGAAAAGGCUAUUAGGUUAUCAGUAAAACGCUAUCUUUUGUCAAACUUUCACUGUGGGGCUCGAGGCAUAUUGAGAGCAUAACGUGAGAACGCGAUGGCUCUUGGGCCCUGCAAAGCAGACGGUUCUGUGCAGAGCAGUGAGGACAACUCCUGCAACAACAUGUAUGUGAGCAAUGAAUUUAAGGUAAUGCAUGCAAAGUAAAAUGCACUGUAAGUUAUCAAUCUGUUCUGCAACUUUUUCUAUAACUUAUGCUCUGUAAAACUCUUCUUUCAGUAGCAGAAUAGCCAGAGGUCCUGCUGGUCACAUCACGAAUAGGGCUGGAUCCAGAUCCCUCAAUAUCAGAGCUGCAGUGUGCUCACAGAUGCACGAGGCACUGAGCAGUGUGCUUUUGUGUAAAUGAAUAUUUGAUCUCAGAAAACUUCUACAAACAAGCAGGAGGACAAAAGGACUGUGUUAAACCUAGCUGGCAUUUCCCAUACCAUGCCCUCUGCACAGAAGUACCCGUCUAAUUCCAAGCACAGAAUUCAACAAAAGUAAAUGUCUGGGCUGAAACACUAUCUGCACAUUUAAUUCUCUACAGCAACAUCACACUGGCACUAAGUAAAAUUUCCCCCAUUUCCCCUACCACAUGUCAGUCAAGGGUUAGAUAAAAGAGCAAUGAGGUCCCUUAUUUCUGCUUAGGACACCAACUGAACACCUGCAGCUGCACUUUCAAAAUAAAUUUAUUUCAGAGGAUUGCAGUAGCACUUUGUACGUACUGGUCACAAAAUUAUAAAUCUUGUGUGAGCCUUGAUUUCUUGUUCAUACAUAUUUGCAAAUAUUCUGGCAACUGUAACCUGUGGGUAGGAAACUGGGAUCUGGAGAUCCUCUGUGGUUUUCAGGUCUGGUACAAAUUAAUCACCUUUUCCAUGAGCUUCCUUCCCAGCUUGACAAUUCAGUAAACAGAACACCUCCAGCUAGGGAUGCCCAAAUGUGCUUCUUUUGACAGCCGUUUUCAUUUUAAUUCGCAUAGUGAGCACUUUAUCAGUCUACAAAGUAAGAAACUAGCCGGGGAAAAUUAUGAAAGCCUACAUUGUGAAAAGAAGUGAAUCUGUCCUUUAAUUCACACGGCAAGGAAGAGUUCCUUGUAGGGACACCUCACCAGAAAGUCCCAACACAAAGUCUGAGAGACUUUCUCAGCCUCAGAGGUAACACUGUUACCUGAUUCCUGUUUUCUACCAAGCUAAGCACUACUUGAGGCAAAGCCCCCUGAACAUCUGCAGUUGAGCUCCAGGGGAAAAAAAAAUAAAAGAUGAAAUCUGUGAAUAAUUAGCAACUUAGAAAUCCCUGACUAAAUGUCAAGCAAAAGCAAGCACACUUCAAGAGUUCUGUUGUGCUCAGAGUAUGGUACGUGUGAGAAGAUGGGACUAAGGAUCACACCGUGCAUGCUGCUUGCCAAAGCACGGCCUUCAGCGUUGGAAAGAGAAGGGAUGUCAUCCCAAGGCAGCAAAUGUAGCUUUUCUCUGAAAAGCAUUUGUUGGCGUGUAAGGGAGGGAAGCUUUCAUUCGUUGAAACGAGUAACUUCCGAUUCCUGCCCUGAGUUGCGCUUGGCAUUCGGUGGUACGACUCAGAUGAAGGAAAGUCCUGUGAAAGACAAAGGCAGGCGCCUGCUCUGCAAGCGAGCUCACGCGAGGAGACCCUCAGACCCGAUUCUCCUGCCCGUAAUUUGUAUUUGCCCCUGUGCUCACUCUAGGACCUCUCCUUUCUGGGAGCUGUUACAGGGGGGCGUUCGCCUGUCGGAAAGCCGCAGUCCGGGUCCCGCCGCCCUGGGAGCUCCCGGAGGCUGGAAGCACCGACCCCGGUCCUCGGCGCCGGGGGAGCCCGGGACCGUCCCGCACCGCCCUCCCCACGCCCUCUCUCGCCCGACGGCUCGAUCUCGGAGCCAGCAGGAAGUUUCGCUUCAACAGCCUCGUCUCCAAAUGUUUUUCUUUGCCAUCUCAAUUGUUUCAGCGCUCUUUCCCUCCAGCCUCCGCCCGCGGCGGCCGCUGCCAACUCGUGCGCAGAGCGCGGCGCGACCCGCGGGGCCGGGGCAGCCCGACGGCGAAGAACGGAGCGCAGCCGCGGAGCCCCGCGCUCCCCUCCGGCCGGUCACUGCGCGCCUGCGGCGCGGAGCGGCGGCUCGGCGGACCGAACCCGUCCUCCGUCGGACGUUCCGCAGAGGCCGGGGUGGGGAAGGGACGACGCGGCCGCCCCUCCGCGGCCCGGCAAAAGGCGCCCGGCGGAAAAAAAAAAAAGCGCUUUGUCCUCACCGGCGGUGACUGAAGCUGCUGCGCGAGACGCUGCGGCGGCCCCCCGCCGCCCCCCGAUUCCAUCUGACGGCUCAGGUCUGCUGCCACAGAGCAGUGUUUAUUCAGCGCGUAAACAAAAGUGAAAGGAAUUAAGCGGGCAGAUCCGACAGCCCAGGGAAACGUUUCGGGCCCUUCAGCGUGGAGUUACCGCGCUCUUAGAGAAGAGGACGUACCUCCAACGGAAAGCAGGCAGUAAGUUUUGUAGCCGUGUAUUUCUGAACAUAGUCGAUGCUUUCCGUGUUGGUUCUGCUAAGGGCAAAAUGCUCUUUCAUAACAUUCGACUGCUGCUUUAUUUUCGUCUGUCCACAACACUUUCUCUGUCUGCAUGACAGUAUGGUACAACUAGCACAGAUGUUUACAAACUCGAAAAGUCAACUUCUAUGUAAAGUUUUCACCAAAGCGUCAGGAACACGUAGACACAGCACUCCACUCGAACAUGCACAAGUUUCACAUACCUGUUCACGGUGCAGGGACCAAGAAGUGCAACAAAGAGUAAAAAGGGCAAAAUUACUGCCCUUAUUCUCUAGGGCGCUGAAAUGACUUUGCACUUCCUCCUGCAGUGCAAGGGCGACUGCCCUUAAAAAAUGCAGGCCUGUACCCCACUAACACCCUACUUGUCCUUUGCCUCCUCUGCCCUUACACCUCCUGCAAAGUAAAGAAUAAAAACGUACAUUGUGUGAGGUUCUGAACUUUGGUGAGGGAGCCACUGUCUCACACAUUCAAGUCGGACACAGAAACUUUUCCCUCAGACCCAUCUGGCCAUUCCCAACCAAGAGACACAGAGCUCCACGCUGGAAUAGUCAUGAGCAGAAGAUACAGAAAAUGCUGGACGCAAGAGCUGGAGACAAACGGCCCUGCCCAAGGAAAGUGUGUUACACGGGUAUGGAAAACAAGUUACGGGUAAGAGACUGACUCGAUUGGUUUACUUCUUGCUAACCCAGUCCAGAAACAGAAAUUCAGGAGUAGACCAAACUCUGCAGCUUUCACCAGAGGCUGGAGCCAGGGGGAGUGAGAACUCACAAAGAGAAAGCCCAAGUGUGCUGGCUUCACUUCGUUGCCUGACUUCCGCCACAGAGCCGCCGCCAAUCCAUCCCCUCCACCCCCAUCCCCCCGAGAUCAGGAUGCUGAGACCUAGAGAUGAAAAGCCUCCAGAUACCCAUAGGUGGGCAAAUGUUAAAGCAUGAGAAAGAGAAUGCCUGAGACAGAAAAGGCAAUGUGCAUGGAAGUCAAUUUUGUCCCCACAGUUAUCAGCUCCGCAUUUUAACCCAUCUCUCCUUUCCAGACAGCUUGCUGGCCAAGAAAGGGACCGCGUGGACCUGGGCUGCACAGAGAGCGGACCGCACGGAGUCACGGCAGCGUCUGCUGGCGGUCCUCGCCUUGCCCUCGGGGGGCGCGGGGACCCCCGCGGGACAUAAACGAGCGGGGAGGUGAGGGUGCGAGACCGGGCUGCGCAGAGGAAAGCUCAUUUCCAUCCCGCAGGGCGGACCGCGUUCCCCUCGGCAGCGAUGUGAAACACCGCGAGCGGAGCGCCGCUCGCCUCCGCAGCCCCGCGCUCAGUCCAAACCCGCCGCACCUCCCCGGGUCCGGCUGUGGCGGAGGCGCGGGUGGGUCAGAGCCUUCAGCCGUUGUUCCGGGGACACCCAGAGCGGUGGGCGACGACAGCGGGCCGAGCCCGGCAGGGCAAUCGGAAGCGGCAGCUCAGAUUGUCCACAGUUUGGUGUCGGUGUCAGCUUUUUGCAAACAGACCGCGGUGCCACGUUUAAUUUCUCAGCAGACCGUUCGUUUUCGCUGUGAAUACGUUUUGCUGGAGCUCCCUUCAGAAACAGGCGUCCCGCCGCGCGCAGUGCUCCGCGGUACUUUUUUUGCUCGAGAAGCCCAAUGCCAACACCCUCUCGUUACAACUCUUGCUGUCCGCGCUCAGCCCCGUGCCCUGCCGUCACAUAUUUAAAAGAUCUCACCUGCGCGCAGAUGAUUAGCAUUUCCUCCAUCUGUCCUUGCAUUACUUCUCAGAGGAACAGACGAGGUCCCCCAUCGGAGGGUCCUCCGCGCUCCCACCCGGGUUCUCCGCAGCGCUCUCAGUCCCGACGGGACGAGGCCGAGCACGGGCCCUCCCAGACCGCCCCCGGCAGCUCCGCUCCCCUCGGCCCGCUGCUCCCUGACACUAAGUUCUGUGCGGCCGCCUGCUUUCACCUCCUCAAAAACGAUGCUACGCUAGCGCACACAUCUUAUGAAUUACUGCUGCGCGUUUUGCUAUCGCUGCGGGGAACAACGCGCGAAAGGAUUUUGUUGGCUCCUGACGCUGUGUUUAUCAGAGAUUAAAGGCGCUGAGGGCAGAGGCUCAGAGCGAGGUUCCCGGAGCAGCCUCGUGGCGCUCCGCCGCCCUUCGCGGAGCUGGUAUGCGG